UUUUAUGUUUUCCAGGUGCAAUUCAAGUUGAAUUUAUAAAAUAGACUUAAGUGCGUAUUCAAAUCUAAGGAAAUAAAUGUGGCGAACAACUCAACCAGUAUAGAAAAGGUUAAAAUUGCGUAUUAGUUCAAAUGGCAUCAUUGCAAUUAGAAGUGAGGAAGCAGCAAACUCAUUACUUUCCUUUUCUCUUCCCUUGUACAAUAGGAGAACAUCUAGUUGCAAGUAUUUGGGGUGCUCCAUUGGAAAUUCCAGUAUAACCUAGGAGUUAUUUGGUCUCUAUAUAUGUUUGUCUUUUUUCCUCUUUCCAUUUUUCUUGUGUUGGCUGCGGUUUGGUUUUUACACUAGCUAAAUUCAGGACUAUGUAGGGACGAGGGGUUUCAUCUGGACACUCUUCGGUGGAAAUUUACUUUAUGUAUAUAUAGUGGAUAUUGACCUCCCUUUAGAUUCUUCAUGUGUUUACUUCUUCGUAUUUUAAACUCCAUUAACAACACUAAUUUGUGUCAAAAUGAUGGAAAGGUUAGAUCUAAUUUCGAAAUUGACAGUCCCAAUUUUGGAUCACAUUUUGUCUUUCCUUCCAGUUAAAGAUGCUGCUAGAACCAGUGUAUAGUCCAAGCAAUGGAACAAAUUCUGGCAAAACGGCAAAACCAGAAUAUUUCUAUACAGAGGUUCAAGAUGAUAGAUUUAAGAAAGUAUGUGAAUGUAGAUAGUUGGUUUAAAAUACUGGUAGCCUAUGAUAUUUACGUGCCGGCUAAUUACGACAUAUUUUACACUUUUAACUAAAGAUAAUUUUAAGUUUUCAAGCAAUCGUUGAUAUUUUUAGCGUGUUUGGUGUUGACUUUCAGGAUAUAAGUCCAAUGACAGAAAAGUGGGAAAAUUAUAUUGAAAUGAGUGUGACGGCUCUUCUAAACUGCCAAUGCUAAAACAGACUGAGUAACUUUUGACCCAUUGAUGAUGGAUCUAGCGACGACAACCUGCCAAGAGCCUAACGAAUCAUCAGACAAACCGGUAGUGCUAAGCAGAAUCUAUGUUCAAGGGGAAGCGGGUGACAAGUCAAGCGACGAACUGUCUCGUGUGCGACGAGCCGUCAGUCGAGUCAUUAGAGAGGAAGCGGAAGCCCAGAUUCGAAAUUUAUUUCCCACAUCCUUGGAGCCUAUAAAUGGCUAGUCUAGGGUUUAGAACAGGCAUCUUUUCACGCUUUAAAUAUUUUUUGUAAUGUACUUUCUCUGGGGAAUCGUUUUUUUUAGGGUGAAAAACACAUCUUCUUGAUUUUUUUCAAGGAUUGGAG
RNAcentral lists this long non-coding RNA (1285 nucleotides) under Capsicum annuum. RNAcentral describes it as "long non-coding RNA (CANN_LNC021319)". Lineage: Eukaryota; Viridiplantae; Streptophyta; Magnoliopsida; Solanales; Solanaceae. The record is from RNAcentral.